UCGCCUGUUUAUCAAAAACAUGUCCUCUUGAAUUUAAUAAUUUGAGGUCUGACCUGCCCACUGAGUUUAACUUAAAGGGCCGCGGUAUUUUGACCGUGCAAAGGUAGCAUAAUCAUUAGUCUUUUAAUUGAAGGCUAGAAUGAAUGGUUGGACGAGGUACUGACUGUCUCAGUAUAAUUGUUAUUAGAAUUUAACUUUUAAGUGAAAAGGCUUAAAUUUAAUUGGAGGACGAGAAGACCCUAUAGAGCUUUAUAUUUAUUUAUAGAAUAAUUUGUUUAGUUUAAUUUUUAUUAUUUUGUAGUAAUUAUUUUGUUGGGGUGACAGGAAGAUACAAUAAACUCUUUUUAAUUUUAAAACAUUAAUAUAUGAUUUGUUGAUCCAUUAAUAAUGAUUAAAAGACUAAGUUACCUUAGGGAUAACAGCGUAAUCUUUUUCGAGAGUUCUUAUCGACAAAAAGGGUUGCGACCUCGAUGUUGGAUUAAGAUUAAUUUUGGGUGUAGAUGUUCAAAGUUUAGGUCUGUUCGACCUUUAAAAUCUUACAUGAUCUGAGUUCAAACCGGAGA
RNAcentral lists this ribosomal RNA (563 nucleotides) under Diamphipnopsis sp. BYU_PL138. Its description in RNAcentral is "partial 16S ribosomal RNA". It matches the Rfam family "Bacterial large subunit ribosomal RNA", at positions 1796 to 2622 of the family's 2925-position model. Lineage: Eukaryota; Metazoa; Arthropoda; Insecta; Plecoptera; Diamphipnoidae. The record is from RNAcentral.